This 468-nucleotide ribosomal RNA is filed under the name uncultured bacterium. Its description in RNAcentral is "partial 16S ribosomal RNA". It matches the Rfam family "Bacterial small subunit ribosomal RNA", at positions 28 to 507 of the family's 1533-position model. The record is from RNAcentral.
GACGAACGCUGGCGGCGUGCUUAACACAUGCCAGUCGUACGGAAAGGCCCUGCUUUUGUGGGGUGCUCGAGUGGCGAACGGGUGAGUAACACGUGAGUAACCUGCCCUUGACUUUGGGAUAACUUCAGGAAACUGGGGCUAAUACCGGAUAGGAGCUCCUGCUGCAUGGUGGGGGUUGGAAAGUUUCGGCGGUUGGGGAUGGACUCGCGGCUUAUCAGCUUGUUGGUGGGGUAGUGGCUUACCAAGGCUUUGACGGGUAGCCGGCCUGAGAGGGUGACCGGCCACAUUGGGACUGAGAUACGGCCCAGACUCCUACGGGAGGCAGCAGUGGGGAAUAUUGCACAAUGGGCGGAAGCCUGAUGCAGCAACGCCGCGUGCGGGAUGACGGCCUUCGGGUUGUAAACCGCUUUCGCCUGUGACGAAGCGUGAGUGACGGUAAUGGGUAAAGAAGCACCGGCUAACUACGUG